This is a long non-coding RNA of Mya arenaria, 222 nucleotides long. RefSeq lists it as uncharacterized. Lineage: Eukaryota; Metazoa; Mollusca; Bivalvia; Myida; Myidae. The record is from RefSeq and is a predicted model, not a curated record. The transcript has 3 exons.
GAGCAAUAUUUGGCCUCCUUGGCAAGAAGAGAUAGCAGCGACUGAACCUCGUUACAACACAUGGAGAUCAAAGGCCCUUAAUAUCGGACAUGAACACCCUUACGUAUCUCCGUAUCACCUGCCGCGAGUUGCAUCAAACAGGACCAGGGAGCAACCACAGACACCAUACUUGGCACAGUACUAAGACGCACUGACAAACACGAACAUUUUUAAGAAUAUUUU